GGUUCAUUCAAAUUUCUGCCCUAUCAACUUUCGAUGGUAGGAUAUAGGCCUACCAUGGUUUCAACGGGUAACGGGGAAUUAGGGUUCUAUUCCGGAGAGGGAGCCUGAGAAACGGCUACCACAUCCAAGGAAGGCAGCAGGCGCGUAAAUUACCCAAUCCCGACCGGGGAGGUAGUGACAAUAAAUACUGAUACAGGGCUCUUUUGGGUCUUGUAAUUGGAAUGAGUACAAUUUAAAUCCCUUAACGAGGAACAAUUGGAGGGCAAGUCUGGUGCCAGCAGCCGCGGUAAUUCCAGCUCCAAUAGCGUAUAUUAAAGUUGUUGCAGUUAAAAAGCUCGUAGUUG
RNAcentral lists this ribosomal RNA (344 nucleotides) under uncultured fungus. RNAcentral describes it as "SSU rRNA". It matches the Rfam family "Eukaryotic small subunit ribosomal RNA", at positions 292 to 636 of the family's 1831-position model. The record is from RNAcentral. Lineage: Eukaryota; Fungi.